UGGCUCAGGACGAACGCUGGCGGCGUGCCUAAUACAUGCAAGUCGAACGCUUCUUUUCCCACCGGAGCUUGCUCCACCGGGAAAAGAGGAGUGGCGAACGGGUGAGUAACACGUGGGUAACCUGCCCAUCAGAAGGGGAUAACACUUGGAAACAGGUGCUAAUACCGUAUAACAAUCGAAACCGCAUGGUUUCGUUUUGAAAGGCGCUUUACGGUGCCGCUGAUGGAUGGACCCGCGGUGCAUUAGCUAGUUGGUGAGGUAACGGCUCACCAAGGCCACGAUGCAUAGCCGACCUGAGAGGGUGAUCGGCCACAUUGGGACUGAGACACGGCCCAAACUCCUACGGGAGGCAGCAGUAGGGAAUCUUCGGCAAUGGACGAAAGUCUGACCGAGCAACGCCGCGUGAGUGAAGAAGGUUUUCGGAUCGUAAAACUCUGUUGUUAGAGAAGAACAAGGGUGAGAGUAACUGUUCACCCCUUGACGGUAUCUAACCAGAAAGCCACGGCUAACUACGUGCCAGCAGCCGCGGUAAUACGUAGGUGGCAAGCGUUGUCCGGAUUUAUUGGGCGUAAAGCGAGCGCAGGCGGUUUCUUAAGUCUGAUGUGAAAGCCCCCGGCUCAACCGGGGAGGGUCAUUGGAAACUGGGAGACUUGAGUGCAGAAGAGGAGAGUGGAAUUCCAUGUGUAGCGGUGAAAUGCGUAGAUAUAUGGAGGAACACCAGUGGCGAAGGCGGCUCUCUGGUCUGUAACUGACGCUGAGGCUCGAAAGCGUGGGGAGCAAACAGGAUUAGAUAC
RNAcentral lists this ribosomal RNA (794 nucleotides) under Enterococcus mundtii. Its description in RNAcentral is "bacterial SSU rRNA". It matches the Rfam family "Bacterial small subunit ribosomal RNA", at positions 20 to 785 of the family's 1533-position model. The record is from RNAcentral. Lineage: Bacteria; Bacillati; Bacillota; Bacilli; Lactobacillales; Enterococcaceae.